This 598-nucleotide ribosomal RNA is filed under the name Dujonia zeylanoides. Its description in RNAcentral is "eukaryotic LSU rRNA". It matches the Rfam family "Eukaryotic large subunit ribosomal RNA", at positions 65 to 675 of the family's 3401-position model. The record is from RNAcentral. Lineage: Eukaryota; Fungi; Ascomycota; Pichiomycetes; Serinales; Debaryomycetaceae.
CCCAAAGUGGUUAUUAACCUCAGCUACGGCGAGUGAAGCGAGCAAAAGCUCAAAUUUGAAAUCUAGCACCUUCAGUGUUCGAGUUGUAAUUUGAAGAAGGUAACUUUGGUUUUGGCUCUUGUCUAUGUUCCUUGGAACAGGACGUCACAGAGGGUGAGAAUCCCGUGCGAUGAGAUGCCCAAUUCCAUGUAAAGUGCUUUCGAAGAGUCGAGUUGUUUGGGAAUGCAGCUCUAAGUGGGUGGUAAAUUCCAUCUAAAGCUAAAUAUUGGCGAGAGACCGAUAGCGAACAAGUACAGUGAUGGAAAGAUGAAAAGAACUUUGAAAAGAGAGUGAAAAAGUACGUGAAAUUGUUGAAAGGGAAGGGCUUGAGAUCAGACUUGGUAUUUUGCGUUCCCUUCCUUUUUGGUUGGGUUCCUCGCAGUUUACUGGGCCAGCAUCGGUUUGGAUGGUAGGAUAAUGACAUUGGAAUGUAGCUUUACUUCGGUGAAGUGUUAUAGACUUUGUUGAUACUGCCUAUCUAGACCGAGGACUGCGUCUUUGACUAGGAUGCUGGCGUAAUGAUCUUAAGCCGCCCGUCUUGAACACGGACCAAAAUAAG